CUAGGACACAAUCGCCAGUCGUGGGGGUGGGGGCGUGUUACUAGGGAGUCGCGUGCUGGGUGGUGGGGACACCGCCAGCUGGAGCCCGGGGCAGUUAGGGGCCGGCUCAGAUUGCUUUCUUAACUCCACCGCCUUCCCCUUUUGCUGCACGCAGACCUAACGGUGGGGCUGCUGUGGCGAACGUGACUGAAGUCCCGGCACACUUACCAGUAUCGUCUUGGCGACUCUAAUAACAGUUGCGGAUCCUAGGUAUACUCACAACUAAACUGGCAGAGAAGCUACAGGUUAUCCAUAUUAUACACAGGGAUCACCCAACCUGAAACACAUUGAACACCUCAAGACAUCUUACAGUUUCACAAGAAACGCUGACCUUGAUUUCUGUCAGCACAACCCCAAGCUGCAACUGGCAAAAUGCUUCAGAAACUUCACCCAAAUUCUUACCAGGCUGAGCUGAAGAACGUCCAAAUUGUAUUCCUUGGAUUUACUCAGCCCCAGAGAGAGGGGAAGAAACACCAAAGAGAGGGAG
This is a long non-coding RNA of Phyllostomus discolor (pale spear-nosed bat), 526 nucleotides long. RefSeq lists it as uncharacterized. Lineage: Eukaryota; Metazoa; Chordata; Mammalia; Chiroptera; Phyllostomidae. The record is from RefSeq and is a predicted model, not a curated record. The transcript is spliced from 4 exons.